CCUACGGGUGGCAGCAGUGGGGAAUAUUGCACAAUGGGGGAAACCCUGAUGCAGCGACGCCGCGUGAGUGAUGAAGUAUUUCGGUAUGUAAAGCUCUAUCAGCAGGGAAGAUAAUGACGGUACCUGACUAAGAAGCUCCGGCUAAAUAUGUGCCAGCAGCCGCGGUAAUACGUAUGGAGCAAGCGUUAUCCGGAUUUACUGGGUGUAAAGGGAGCGCAGACGGCAGGGCAAGUCUGAUGUGAAAGUCCGGGCUCAACCCCGGGACUGCAUUGGAAACUGUCCGGCUAGAGUGCAGGAGAGGUAAGUGGAAUUCCUAGUGUAGCGGUGAAAUGCGUAGAUAUUAGGAGGAACACCAGUGGCGAAGGCGGCUUACUGGACUGUAACUGACGUUGAGGCUCGAAAGCGUGGGGAGCAAACAGGAUUAGAUACCCGAGUAGUC
Molecule: ribosomal RNA, 439 nt
Filed under: uncultured bacterium
Lineage: Bacteria
Description: partial 16S ribosomal RNA
Rfam family: Bacterial small subunit ribosomal RNA
Source: RNAcentral